This 640-nucleotide ribosomal RNA is filed under the name Bacillus sp. (in: firmicutes). Its description in RNAcentral is "bacterial SSU rRNA". It matches the Rfam family "Bacterial small subunit ribosomal RNA", at positions 68 to 692 of the family's 1533-position model. The record is from RNAcentral. Lineage: Bacteria; Bacillati; Bacillota; Bacilli; Caryophanales; Bacillaceae.
AAUCGAUGGGAGCUUGCUCCCUGAGAUUAGCGGCGGACGGGUGAGUAACACGUGGGCAACCUGCCUAUAAGACUGGGAUAACUUCGGGAAACCGGAGCUAAUACCGGAUACGUUCUUUUCUCGCAUGAGAGAAGAUGGAAAGACGGUUUACGCUGUCACUUAUAGAUGGGCCCGCGGCGCAUUAGCUAGUUGGUGAGGUAAUGGCUCACCAAGGCGACGAUGCGUAGCCGACCUGAGAGGGUGAUCGGCCACACUGGGACUGAGACACGGCCCAGACUCCUACGGGAGGCAGCAGUAGGGAAUCUUCCGCAAUGGACGAAAGUCUGACGGAGCAACGCCGCGUGAACGAAGAAGGCCUUCGGGUCGUAAAGUUCUGUUGUUAGGGAAGAACAAGUACCAGAGUAACUGCUGGUACCUUGACGGUACCUAACCAGAAAGCCACGGCUAACUACGUGCCAGCAGCCGCGGUAAUACGUAGGUGGCAAGCGUUGUCCGGAAUUAUUGGGCGUAAAGCGCGCGCAGGUGGUUCCUUAAGUCUGAUGUGAAAGCCCACGGCUCAACCGUGGAGGGUCAUUGGAAACUGGGGAACUUGAGUGCAGAAGAGGAAAGUGGAAUUCCAAGUGUAGCGGUGAAAUGCGUA